UCACACAAAAUUCUAUAUACUGGGUGAACAGGGAGAAAUACUUUUUUAUCCUUCUAUAAAUAGAACUGUUGAAUAUAUGCAUGAAACAUGGAAGUACGGUUGUGAGUCUUCGAAAUUUGCUUAUAUUUGUAAAAGUGAAUAAUGUUGAUGAUGUUGGACCAGAAAUAGAAUUAUUCUAUAAACGUUUAGCGCAUGCUCACUAUACUAAUUGUUCGUGUGAAGGAAAAUGUGACUUGCCUAGGUACAGUUCAGUUGGUUACCUGGUCAGAUACAGUUUAGAUCAUUUUCUUCUUGAUCCAGGAGUGAAGUUACAAUUCAAUUCUCUAAUAAAUAAACACACACAAAAAACACGCCACAUAAAAAGCUUUUCAAAAACUUAUUUUAAAAAAAAAUAUAGUGAAUAAAAUCAAUUAAAAUUAGGAAAAAGAAUAAUAAAAAAAGUUAAAAUAAAAUAUUUCUCAGUGAAUUUUUAGUGGAUGAAAAAAAUAUUUAUGUGACAGUUUGAGAAUGGACCGCAGGAUGGAAAACAGCAAAAAUUGCUAAACAAAAAAAACAGGUUUGAGAUGAAUGCAUAAUUGUUGAUUAUAUUUAAAUUAACUGAGAGAGCUCAGGUCAUUGAAACAUUGCAAAAGGAGCCCGUGAAUUGUUAAAUUUGUAUUGUAGCUGAAGAAGCUUCUAAUAUGCAAUUAUGCAUUCAUUAUUUAAAUAAAAUAUUAAAAUUUUAUAUAAAACUGACUAGUUAUUCUUUUUGUUUUCAGAGCUGAAGCAUGUUAACUUGGAAGUUGGUCGAAAACGUGACAGUUUGGGUUCCAAUUAUGAUAACUGAUUACUCAUAACAUAUCAACAACAACUUGUCAGCGUUAAAAGCGUCAAAGUGAACAACAUUGUUAUUUUAAUUAUAUUCUGAUUUAUCUGGCAGUGUUACAAAUUGUAUUUCAUUUUUAAAUCUGUGAACAAUAAAGAUCAUUCUUUUCCUCCGUG
This is a long non-coding RNA of Phlebotomus papatasi, 981 nucleotides long. RefSeq lists it as uncharacterized. The record is from RefSeq and is a predicted model, not a curated record. The transcript is spliced from 2 exons. NCBI's taxonomy places the organism in Eukaryota, Metazoa, Arthropoda, Insecta, Diptera, Psychodidae.